Molecule: transfer RNA, 72 nt
Filed under: Ovis aries (sheep)
Lineage: Eukaryota; Metazoa; Chordata; Mammalia; Artiodactyla; Bovidae
Rfam family: tRNA
About the family: Transfer RNA (tRNA) molecules are approximately 80 nucleotides in length. Their secondary structure includes four short double-helical elements and three loops (D, anti-codon, and T loops). Further hydrogen bonds mediate the characteristic L-shaped molecular structure. tRNAs have two regions of fundamental functional importance: the anti-codon, which is responsible for specific mRNA codon recognition, and the 3' end, to which the tRNAs corresponding amino acid is attached (by aminoacyl-tRNA synthetases). tRNAs cope with the degeneracy of the genetic code in two manners: having more than one tRNA (with a specific anti-codon) for a particular amino acid; and 'wobble' base-pairing, i.e. permitting non-standard base-pairing at the 3rd anti-codon position.
Source: Rfam by way of RNAcentral
UCCCUGAUGGCUCAGAGGGUAAAGCAUCUGCCCGAAUUGCAGGAGACCCGGGUUCGACCCCUGGGUUGGGAA